Pundamilia nyererei is the source of this 2425-nucleotide long non-coding RNA. RefSeq lists it as uncharacterized. The record is from RefSeq and is a predicted model, not a curated record. The transcript is spliced from 2 exons. Lineage: Eukaryota; Metazoa; Chordata; Actinopteri; Cichliformes; Cichlidae.
GAGUCCAAGUUGGCAUCUUGUCGAGACUUUGUGUACGACACAUCCGUCAACAGACCGGCACUUACAGUUGGUCCUGGCAGUCCUUCGGGUUUAGAUGCAGGUGCUGAGCUCCAGGCGGUGGGCCUGAGCCCUCCUUCUCAGUAUGACAGUUUGGUGAAACGGUUAGAGUUUGGACCAGCUCCUCCAAGAGGGAUCUCCCAUGGUGCCCAGUCUCCACAGGGAGGGGUCAAGAUACUGCUAUGAGAGGGGAGGGGAAAAAACCCUUCCUUUCUCUCUCCCUCCUGACCUUCCUCAUAUGACACCCCUGGACUUUGAGCUGUCUUCCUUGUCCUGCUGAUUGUCCUUGCACCGUGCCCUCACUGAGCAAAGAGAGAGGCUCCGCCCAUUAACGCACUGACUUCUGCUCUCUCAGGCUUGUACCACACCAUAUCACAGGAGGCAGCACUACAUCCUGUGGACCCUACCAUUCGCAGCAUAUCUUCCACUAUAUCUCUGAUGCUGUGGUGGCUAACUUCUUAAAAAAACAAAAAAACAAAAACAAACUCAUGAUGGACCUUCUGUGUUUUCUGUGGUUGGAUCAAGCACAGCAGGGCUUUGUAAACAUUUCUGCUCCUACAUCACUAAUCUAGUGCACUAGCCUAUUAAUCAUUAUCCAUGUAAGGAACAGUUUUAAUAAUUAAAAGCACUGGAAAGUGACCCUGGUAUAGGGACCAGAAUCUGGAGUAUUGUUUAUGGAAAAGUUGAGCAAAUAUUGUGUUUGUGACCAAGUCAAAACCAAAGCUGUGAUAAAUGGGAAAACUGAAAAUAACAAAAGCAAUAGGUUUGUUUUUCUUUGAGAUGUAUAUGAAAAACAUGGUUGAGCUUUGUCAUUGGCCUUUUCUGUGUUUAUCGUUUCCCAUCAUGUCUUGAAGAACACAGAUUGAUAUUUUGGUUUAAAAAUAUUUCAGACUGGGUGACUGAAUGAGCUGACAAUGAAUUACUUCCUGCCAUGAAUUGGCGUUAGUAUUUCAGCCAGCCUUCAUCACUGCUGUUACUUCUUCAGUUUUUGGGCUCUUGCUUUGCUGCAGUGCCACGGCUGAUCCAGGUGUUAAAAUACCGAAACAGAUCAUCGUCUCUGUCAGAUUUUCAUCGAGAGGGGUGCCACUUGACUUCAUGGUGGUUAAAGUAAUAGCAUUUAGUAUGCCCCCCCAACCCCAUUUCGUUAUCAUUCGGGUCCUUCCUAUUACCUCCCUCCAACCAUUUCACACACCAACUAUUUUCUGCUUUACUGGGCUUAUAAAAGAUAAAAUUUAUCAUGCUGAAGAUUUAUGAUCUAAUGUUAUCAUAAACCUUUCUACUGAUGGUAGCUGACAGUAUAUUUUAGACAGGCACUUGAAUGUAUAGUAUCUCAUUCUGCCACUUAGACUUACAUGGUGGACAUAUGGUAAACAUGAUAAGCAAUAAUAGAUUUUGAAAUGGUCAAAUUAGCACUGUUCGUAUAUUUGUGUAGGUAUAAAGAAGACUUUGAAAUUAGGAAAUGGAGCGAUUCUGAUGUGACAGCUAUGCUUUUCCCUGAAAUGUUUCUGUUUAAAUGGAUCUUGUCACUACUGCCAUCCAGCAGCUCAUUAAGCAGCUCAUUAAGCAAAUAUUAAAGUUGCAUAUCUAAAUAUGACCUUUAUACAGUAGCUAUCACUGUAUACUGCACUGUAGCCUUUGUGUAGGAAUUAACUUGUAACAUCUGAAAUCUGGAGGUCCUCCUGUUUGCAGGACAGUUUAAAGGGGGCCUGUAAUGCUUGUUUCUACAGUCAUAUUAAUGUUCUUGAGUGUAACCGAGGCGCUAUGAAGGUCACACAGUUAAAAAUAAUCAUCAUUUGUCUCAUUCAGGACCUUUUUACAGUCAGAGUUUAUCCACUGCCUGAAACAAGUUAUUGUAGGUCUUAAUUUAGGCCAGCUUUUUUUUUUUUUCUCUCUUAUGUCUGCUCCCUCCUAAACGGAAGUUUUGAACCUCACUGAAAUGAAGACAUUAAGGAUAUCCUCUUUAACGACAUACAGAGUAGACAGAAAAUAGUCUUUAGAGCAGGCUUGAACUAGAAAUAUUGACUCACAGGGAAUCCUAACACAUGCUGACCUCAUGAUUUGAAACUUUGGCCUUGUUUCGUCUAUAAGUGUGACAGAAAGUAAAGGGAAGCAUAACUGGUCCCCUUUAAUCUUCCUUGAGCUACUUCCAGUUGUAAUCCUUGUAAUCACUGUGUACUGGCUGUUUGUUUAGGACGCCUGCAGCUGCUUCUGUAUGCUGACUUUAAACUGUUUGUGCCUGAGGUACUAUACCCAACUUUCGUCCUGCUGGUUUGCAGUCGUUUUUUCUUUUUCUACUAAACUGAGCAGAUGUGAAUAAUUUGAGUGAGUUACUGACCAAGACAGAAACAUUAAAAGGAGAAAGUCAAAA